RNAcentral lists this ribosomal RNA (487 nucleotides) under uncultured bacterium. RNAcentral's name for it is "bacterial LSU rRNA". It matches the Rfam family "Bacterial large subunit ribosomal RNA", at positions 424 to 925 of the family's 2925-position model. The record is from RNAcentral.
CGUCGUAAUCCUGUCUGAAGAUGGGGGACCAUCCUCCAAGGCUAAAUACUCGUAAUCGACCGAUAGUGAACUAGUACCGUGAGGAAAGGCGAAAGAACCCGGAGGGGAGUGAAAUAGAUCCUGAAACCGCAUGCAUACAAAAGUCGGAGCCCGCAAGGGUGACGGCGUACCUUUUGUAUAAUGGGUCAGCGACUUACAUUCAGUGGCAAGCUUAACCGAAUAGGGAAGGCGCAGGGAACCGAGUCCGAAUAGGGCGUUCAGUCGCUGGGUGUAGACCCGAAACCAAGUGAUCUAUCCAUGGCCAGGAUUAAGGUAGGGGUAACACCUGCUGGAGGUCCGAACCGACUAGUGUUGCAAAACUAGCGGAUGAGCUGUGGAUAGGGGUGAAAGGCUAAACAAACUUGGAGAUAGCUGGUUCUCUCCGAAAACUAUUUAGGUAGUGCCUCAAGUAUUACCAUUGGGGGUAGAGCACUGUUAUGGCUAGGGG